This 237-nucleotide ribosomal RNA is filed under the name uncultured bacterium. Its description in RNAcentral is "partial 16S ribosomal RNA". It matches the Rfam family "Bacterial small subunit ribosomal RNA", at positions 15 to 235 of the family's 1533-position model. The record is from RNAcentral.
GAUCCUGGCUCAGGAUGAACGCUGGCGGCGUGCCUAACACAUGCAAGUCGAGCGAAGCACUUUGCUUAGAUUCUUCGGAUGAAGAGGAUUGUGACUGAGCGGCGGACGGGUGAGUAACGCGUGGGUAACCUGCCUCAUACAGGGGGAGUAACAGUUAGAAAUAGACUGCUAAUACCGCAUAAGACCACAGCACCGCAUGGUGCGGGGUAAAACUCCGGUGUAUGAGAUGGACCCGCG